UACGGAGGAUGCAAGCGUUAUCCGGAUUUAUUGGGUUUAAAGGGUGCGCAGGUUGUUUGAUAAGUCAGUGGUGAAAGUCUGUCGCUUAACGGUAGGAUUGCCAUUGAUACUGUUAGACUUGAAUAUGGAUGAGGUAGGCGGAAUGUGUAGUGUAGCGGUGAAAUGCAUAGAUAUUACACAGAACACCGAUUGCGAAGGCAGCUUACUAACCCAUCAUUGACGCUGAGGCACGAAAGCGUGGGGAUCAAACAGGA
This 254-nucleotide ribosomal RNA is filed under the name uncultured prokaryote. Its description in RNAcentral is "partial 16S ribosomal RNA". It matches the Rfam family "Bacterial small subunit ribosomal RNA", at positions 524 to 777 of the family's 1533-position model. The record is from RNAcentral.